AGCAUAUCAAUAAGCGGAGGAAAAGAAACCAACAGGGAUUGCCUUAGUAACGGCGAGUGAAGCGGCAACAGCUCAAAUUUGAAAGCUGGCCCUUUUAGGGUCCGCGUUGUAAUUUGUAGAGGAUGAUUCGGCGAGGGCUCCCGCCUAAGUCCCCUGGAACGGGGCGUCAUAGAGGGUGAGAAUCCCGUAUGCGGUGGGCUGCCUUAGCCAUGUGAAUCUCCUUCGACGAGUCGAGUUGUUUGGGAAUGCAGCUCUAAAUGGGAGGUAAAUUUCUUCUAAAGCUAAAUACCGGCCAGAGACCGAUAGCGCACAAGUAGAGUGAUCGAAAGAUGAAAAGCACUUUGGAAAGAGAGUUAAAAAGUACGUGAAAUUGUUGAAAGGGAAGCGCUUGCAACCAGACUUGUCCGCAGUUGCUCAGCCGGUCUCCUGACCGGCGUACUCUUCUGCGGCCAGGCCAGCAUCAGUUCGGGCGGUCGGAUAAAGACCUCGGGAAUGUGGCUCCUCUCGGGGAGUGUUAUAGCCCGGGGUGGAAUGCGGCCAGCCUGGACUGAGGAUCUCGCUUCGGCAAGGAUGCUGGCGUAAUGGUUGUAAGCGGCCCGUCUUGAAACACGGACCAAGGAGUCUAACACCUAUGCGAGUGUUUGGGUGUCAAACCCAUACGCGUAAUGAAAGUGAACGGAGGUGGGAACCCGCAAGGGCGCACCAUCGGCCGAUCCUGAUGUCUUCGGAUGGAUUUGAGCAAGAGCAUAGUUGUUGGGACCCGAAAGAUGGUGAACUAUGCCUGAAUAGGGUGAAGUCAGAGGAAACUCUGAUGGAGGCUCGCAGCGGUUCUGACGUGCAAAUCGAUCGUCAAAUUUGGGUAUAGGGGCGAAAGACUAAUCGAA
Molecule: ribosomal RNA, 884 nt
Filed under: Lasiodiplodia rubropurpurea
Lineage: Eukaryota; Fungi; Ascomycota; Dothideomycetes; Botryosphaeriales; Botryosphaeriaceae
Description: eukaryotic LSU rRNA
Rfam family: Eukaryotic large subunit ribosomal RNA
Source: RNAcentral